AAGAAGUCAGGCCAGAUUAAGCCAUAGCACGGAAAGAGCUAUGCUGCCUGUGAGCCCCGUCCAAGGACGUAAAAUGAAGUCAGGCCGAAAGCCACGGAUUGAGCAAGCCGUGCUGCCUGUGGCUCCAUCGUGGGGAUGUAAAAACCCGGGAGGCUGCAACCCAUGGAAGCUGUACGCAUGGGGUAGCAGACUAGUGGUUAGAGGAGACCCCUCCCUAGACACAACGCAGCAGCGGGGCCCAACACCAGGGGAAGCUGUAC
This 260-nucleotide long non-coding RNA is filed under the name dengue virus type 1. RNAcentral describes it as "dengue virus type I partial sfRNA1". The stretch from base 149 to 220 matches the Rfam family "Flavivirus DB element". The record is from RNAcentral. Lineage: Riboviria; Orthornavirae; Kitrinoviricota; Flasuviricetes; Amarillovirales; Flaviviridae.